Molecule: long non-coding RNA, 614 nt
Organism: Hypomesus transpacificus
Lineage: Eukaryota; Metazoa; Chordata; Actinopteri; Osmeriformes; Osmeridae
Exons: 4
Source: RefSeq, a predicted model, not a curated record
ACACAGAGUGGGUGUGUCGCUAGUAGAUCAUGAUGGUUUUAAAGCAGCUCUCCUUUGUCACUUCAUAAGUUGGUCUUUUGGCUCUUAAAUGCAACAGAGCAUCCUCCUGUAUCAUACCCAAUACUUGACAGUGAAUACGCCAUCAUGAGGUCACUGGUUCUUGCUGUGCUCUUGUGCGCUUUACCUUCAAUGCUCGAAGCUGCAUGUCUUUUCGCUGGGUUUCCAGGUGAAACUAAGUGUCAUGAUGCAGCAGACCAGACCUGGCAUGCCGUGGGGUCUACCUGGAGAACCAGUGACUGUCUAAGAUGUACUUGUCGCUUGGACGCUGGUUUAAAAGUAGAAAUGAGAUGCUGCCAUGCGUAUCUAAAUAAUAUACGUAUCCCGGAUGACUCUGUCUCUAAGUUUGAUAAAAAAACAUGUCAACAUAUUGUCCAUAAAAAGGAUGAUCCGUCCACAAGCUGUCCUAUCCUUGCCGCUUCGGGAAAAUGAAGAAAUUGUUCCUUAUCGUGUGAAAUUCUGAUUCAUUGUGUCACUGUCACUAUUGUGUCGGACACUAGUGUUUUCUAGGGCUAUGUGAAUUGGAUCUGAUAAAUAAAAGACAUUUGAAUAUUAAA